This 253-nucleotide ribosomal RNA is filed under the name uncultured bacterium. RNAcentral describes it as "partial 16S ribosomal RNA". It matches the Rfam family "Bacterial small subunit ribosomal RNA", at positions 524 to 776 of the family's 1533-position model. The record is from RNAcentral.
UACAGAGGGCUCAAGCGUUGUUCGGAUUCAUUGGGCGUAAAGGGUGCGUAGGCGGCGCGGUAAGUCGGGUGUGAAAUCUCGGAGCUUAACUCCGAAACUGCAUUCGAUACUGCCGUGCUUGAGGACUGGAGAGGAGACUGGAAUUUACGGUGUAGCGGUGAAAUGCGUAGAUAUCGUAAGGAAGACCCGUGGCGAAGGCGGGUCUCUGGACAGGUCCUGACGCUGAGGCACGAAGGUCAGGGGAGCAAACGGG